Molecule: ribosomal RNA, 253 nt
Filed under: uncultured bacterium
Lineage: Bacteria
Description: partial 16S ribosomal RNA
Rfam family: Bacterial small subunit ribosomal RNA
Source: RNAcentral
GACGUAGGGCGCGAGCGUUGUCCGGAUUUAUUGGGCGUAAAGAGCUCGUAGGCGGCUUGUCGCGUCGUCCGUGAAAACUUGGGGCUCAACCCCAAGCUUGCGGUCGAUACGGGCAGGCUCGAGUUCGGUAGGGGAGACUGGAAUUCCUGGUGUAGCGGUGAAAUGCGCAGAUAUCAGGAGGAACACCGGCGGCGAAGGCGGGUCUCUGGGCCGAUACUGACGCUGAGGAGCGAAAGCGUGGGGAGCGAACAGG